This 2903-nucleotide ribosomal RNA is filed under the name Escherichia coli. RNAcentral describes it as "23S ribosomal RNA". It matches the Rfam family "Bacterial large subunit ribosomal RNA". Lineage: Bacteria; Pseudomonadati; Pseudomonadota; Gammaproteobacteria; Enterobacterales; Enterobacteriaceae. The record is from RNAcentral.
GGUUAAGCGACUAAGCGUACACGGUGGAUGCCCUGGCAGUCAGAGGCGAUGAAGGACGUGCUAAUCUGCGAUAAGCGUCGGUAAGGUGAUAUGAACCGUUAUAACCGGCGAUUUCCGAAUGGGGAAACCCAGUGUGUUUCGACACACUAUCAUUAACUGAAUCCAUAGGUUAAUGAGGCGAACCGGGGGAACUGAAACAUCUAAGUACCCCGAGGAAAAGAAAUCAACCGAGAUUCCCCCAGUAGCGGCGAGCGAACGGGGAGCAGCCCAGAGCCUGAAUCAGUAUGUGUGUUAGUGGAAGCGUCUGGAAAGGCGCGCGAUACAGGGUGACAGCCCCGUACACAAAAAUGCACAUAUUGUGAGCUCGAUGAGUAGGGCGGGACACGUGGUAUCCUGUCUGAAUAUGGGGGGACCAUCCUCCAAGGCUAAAUACUCCUGACUGACCGAUAGUGAACCAGUACCGUGAGGGAAAGGCGAAAAGAACCCCGGCGAGGGGAGUGAAAAAGAACCUGAAACCGUGUACGUACAAGCAGUGGGAGCACGCUUAGGCGUGUGACUGCGUACCUUUUGUAUAAUGGGUCAGCGACUUAUAUUCUGUAGCAAGGUUAACCGAAUAGGGGAGCCGAAGGGAAACCGAGUCUUAACUGGGCGUUAAGUUGCAGGGUAUAGACCCGAAACCCGGUGAUCUAGCCAUGGGCAGGUUGAAGGUUGGGUAACACUAACUGGAGGACCGAACCGACUAAUGUUGAAAAAUUAGCGGAUGACUUGUGGCUGGGGGUGAAAGGCCAAUCAAACCGGGAGAUAGCUGGUUCUCCCCGAAAGCUAUUUAGGUAGCGCCUCGUGAACUCAUCUCCGGGGGUAGAGCACUGUUUCGGCAAGGGGGUCAUCCCGACUUACCAACCCGAUGCAAACUGCGAAUACCGGAGAAUGUUAUCACGGGAGACACACGGCGGGUGCUAACGUCCGUCGUGAAGAGGGAAACAACCCAGACCGCCAGCUAAGGUCCCAAAGUCAUGGUUAAGUGGGAAACGAUGUGGGAAGGCCCAGACAGCCAGGAUGUUGGCUUAGAAGCAGCCAUCAUUUAAAGAAAGCGUAAUAGCUCACUGGUCGAGUCGGCCUGCGCGGAAGAUGUAACGGGGCUAAACCAUGCACCGAAGCUGCGGCAGCGACACUAUGUGUUGUUGGGUAGGGGAGCGUUCUGUAAGCCUGUGAAGGUGUGCUGUGAGGCAUGCUGGAGGUAUCAGAAGUGCGAAUGCUGACAUAAGUAACGAUAAAGCGGGUGAAAAGCCCGCUCGCCGGAAGACCAAGGGUUCCUGUCCAACGUUAAUCGGGGCAGGGUGAGUCGACCCCUAAGGCGAGGCCGAAAGGCGUAGUCGAUGGGAAACAGGUUAAUAUUCCUGUACUUGGUGUUACUGCGAAGGGGGGACGGAGAAGGCUAUGUUGGCCGGGCGACGGUUGUCCCGGUUUAAGCGUGUAGGCUGGUUUUCCAGGCAAAUCCGGAAAAUCAAGGCUGAGGCGUGAUGACGAGGCACUACGGUGCUGAAGCAACAAAUGCCCUGCUUCCAGGAAAAGCCUCUAAGCAUCAGGUAACAUCAAAUCGUACCCCAAACCGACACAGGUGGUCAGGUAGAGAAUACCAAGGCGCUUGAGAGAACUCGGGUGAAGGAACUAGGCAAAAUGGUGCCGUAACUUCGGGAGAAGGCACGCUGAUAUGUAGGUGAAGUCCCUCGCGGAUGGAGCUGAAAUCAGUCGAAGAUACCAGCUGGCUGCAACUGUUUAUUAAAAACACAGCACUGUGCAAACACGAAAGUGGACGUAUACGGUGUGACGCCUGCCCGGUGCCGGAAGGUUAAUUGAUGGGGUCAGCGCAAGCGAAGCUCUUGAUCGAAGCCCCGGUAAACGGCGGCCGUAACUAUAACGGUCCUAAGGUAGCGAAAUUCCUUGUCGGGUAAGUUCCGACCUGCACGAAUGGCGUAAUGAUGGCCAGGCUGUCUCCACCCGAGACUCAGUGAAAUUGAACUCGCUGUGAAGAUGCAGUGUACCCGCGGCAAGACGGAAAGACCCCGUGAACCUUUACUAUAGCUUGACACUGAACAUUGAGCCUUGAUGUGUAGGAUAGGUGGGAGGCUUAGAAGUGUGGACGCCAGUCUGCAUGGAGCCGACCUUGAAAUACCACCCUUUAAUGUUUGAUGUUCUAACGUUGACCCGUAAUCCGGGUUGCGGACAGUGUCUGGUGGGUAGUUUGACUGGGGCGGUCUCCUCCUAAAGAGUAACGGAGGAGCACGAAGGUUGGCUAAUCCUGGUCGGACAUCAGGAGGUUAGUGCAAUGGCAUAAGCCAGCUUGACUGCGAGCGUGACGGCGCGAGCAGGUGCGAAAGCAGGUCAUAGUGAUCCGGUGGUUCUGAAUGGAAGGGCCAUCGCUCAACGGAUAAAAGGUACUCCGGGGAUAACAGGCUGAUACCGCCCAAGAGUUCAUAUCGACGGCGGUGUUUGGCACCUCGAUGUCGGCUCAUCACAUCCUGGGGCUGAAGUAGGUCCCAAGGGUAUGGCUGUUCGCCAUUUAAAGUGGUACGCGAGCUGGGUUUAGAACGUCGUGAGACAGUUCGGUCCCUAUCUGCCGUGGGCGCUGGAGAACUGAGGGGGGCUGCUCCUAGUACGAGAGGACCGGAGUGGACGCAUCACUGGUGUUCGGGUUGUCAUGCCAAUGGCACUGCCCGGUAGCUAAAUGCGGAAGAGAUAAGUGCUGAAAGCAUCUAAGCACGAAACUUGCCCCGAGAUGAGUUCUCCCUGACCCUUUAAGGGUCCUGAAGGAACGUUGAAGACGACGACGUUGAUAGGCCGGGUGUGUAAGCGCAGCGAUGCGUUGAGCUAACCGGUACUAAUGAACCGUGAGGCUUAACCUU